RNAcentral lists this transfer RNA (76 nucleotides) under Stereum hirsutum FP-91666 SS1. RNAcentral describes it as "tRNA-His (GTG) (tRNA-His-GTG-2-1)". It matches the Rfam family "tRNA". From Rfam's summary of the family: Transfer RNA (tRNA) molecules are approximately 80 nucleotides in length. Their secondary structure includes four short double-helical elements and three loops (D, anti-codon, and T loops). Further hydrogen bonds mediate the characteristic L-shaped molecular structure. tRNAs have two regions of fundamental functional importance: the anti-codon, which is responsible for specific mRNA codon recognition, and the 3' end, to which the tRNAs corresponding amino acid is attached (by aminoacyl-tRNA synthetases). tRNAs cope with the degeneracy of the genetic code in two manners: having more than one tRNA (with a specific anti-codon) for a particular amino acid; and 'wobble' base-pairing, i.e. permitting non-standard base-pairing at the 3rd anti-codon position. Lineage: Eukaryota; Fungi; Basidiomycota; Agaricomycetes; Russulales; Stereaceae. The record is from RNAcentral.
AGCUCGAUAGCGCAACGGUAGCGCGUCUGUUCUCUAUUGUGGAUGGAAGAUCUCGGUUCGACUCUGAGUCGAGCUA